This 490-nucleotide ribosomal RNA is filed under the name uncultured bacterium. RNAcentral's name for it is "partial 16S ribosomal RNA". It matches the Rfam family "Bacterial small subunit ribosomal RNA", at positions 28 to 507 of the family's 1533-position model. The record is from RNAcentral.
GAUGAACGCUAGCUACAGGCUUAACACAUGCAAGUCGCGGGGCAGCAUGGGGGUUGCUUGCAAUCCCCGAUGGCGACCGGCGCACGGGUGAGUAACGCGUAUCCAACCUGCCCUUCACCACGGGAUAACCCGGCGAAAGUCGGACUAAUACCGUAUGUUGUCCAUUGACGGCAUCCGAUUUGGACGAAAGGCUUGGCGGUGAGGGAUGGGGAUGCGUCCGAUUAGCCAGACGGCGGGGUAACGGCCCACCGUGGCUACGAUCGGUAGGGGUUCUGAGAGGAAGGUCCCCCACACUGGAACUGAGACACGGUCCAGACUCCUACGGGAGGCAGCAGCGAGGAAUAUUGGUCAAUGGGCGUAAGCCUGAACCAGCCAAGUAGCGUGCAGGAUGACGGCCCUAUGGGUUGUAAACUGCUUUUAUGCGGGGAUAAAGUGGCCCACGUGUGGGCUUUUGCAGGUACCGCAUGAAUAAGGACCGGCUAAUUCCGUG